RNAcentral lists this ribosomal RNA (253 nucleotides) under uncultured bacterium. RNAcentral describes it as "partial 16S ribosomal RNA". It matches the Rfam family "Bacterial small subunit ribosomal RNA", at positions 524 to 776 of the family's 1533-position model. The record is from RNAcentral.
UACAGGGGGUGCAAACGUUGCUCGGAAUUAUUGGGCGUAAAGCGCGCGUAGGCGGCUACUUAAGUCGGAUGUGAAAUCCCUGGGCUCAACCCAGGAAGUGCACUCGAAACUGGCAGGCUUGAGUACUGAAGAGGGUCGCGGAAUUCCCGGUGUAGAGGUGAAAUUCGUAGAUAUCGGGAGGAACACCAGUGGCGAAGGCGGCGACCUGGGCAGAUACUGACACUGAGGUGCGAAAGCGUGGGGAGCGAACAGG